RNAcentral lists this ribosomal RNA (253 nucleotides) under uncultured bacterium. Its description in RNAcentral is "partial 16S ribosomal RNA". It matches the Rfam family "Bacterial small subunit ribosomal RNA", at positions 524 to 776 of the family's 1533-position model. The record is from RNAcentral.
UACGUAGGCUGCAAGCGUUGUUCGGAAUUACUGGGCGUAAAGAGUGUGUAGGCGGUGCUCUAAGUCUGUUGUGAAAUCUCCCGGCUUAACUGGGAGGGUGCGGCGGAAACUGGAGUGCUCGAGGGUGGGAGAGGUAAGCGGAAUUCCUGGUGUAGCGGUGAAAUGCGUAGAUAUCAGGAGGAACACCUGUGGUGUAGACAGCUUACUGGACCACUUCUGACGCUGAGACACGAAAGCGUGGGUAGCAAACAGG